GACGAACGCUGGCGGCGUGCCUAAUACAUGCAAGUAGAACGCACAGUUUAUACCGUAGCUUGCUACACCAUAGACUGUGAGUUGCGAACGGGUGAGUAACGCGUAGGUAACCUGCCUGGUAGCGGGGGAUAACUAUUGGAAACGAUAGCUAAUACCGCAUAAUAUUAAUUAUUGCAUGAUAAUUAAUUGAAAGGUGCAAUUGCACCACUACCAGAUGGACCUGCGUUGUAUUAGCUAGUAGGUGAGGUAACGGCUCACCUAGGCGACGAUACAUAGCCGACCUGAGAGGGUGAUCGGCCAAACUGGGACUGAGACACGGCCCAGACUCCUACGGGAGGCAGCAGUAGGGAAUCUUCGGCAAUGGACGAAAGUCUGACCGAGCAACGCCGCGUGAGUGAAGAAGGUUUUCGGAUCGUAAAGCUCUGUUGUAAGAGAAGAACGGGUGUGAGAGCGGAAAGUUCACACUGUGACGGUAUCUUACCAGAAAGGGACGGCUAACUACGUG
Molecule: ribosomal RNA, 505 nt
Filed under: uncultured bacterium
Lineage: Bacteria
Description: partial 16S ribosomal RNA
Rfam family: Bacterial small subunit ribosomal RNA
Source: RNAcentral